This 62-nucleotide transfer RNA is filed under the name Phatnoma laciniatum. Its description in RNAcentral is "tRNA-Tyr". Lineage: Eukaryota; Metazoa; Arthropoda; Insecta; Hemiptera; Tingidae. The record is from RNAcentral.
AAUAAGUUGACUGAUAAAGGUGAUAAAUUGUAAAUUUAUUUAUGGAUAAUUUCCACUUAUUA